This is a long non-coding RNA of Neocloeon triangulifer, 751 nucleotides long. RefSeq lists it as uncharacterized. The record is from RefSeq and is a predicted model, not a curated record. The transcript has 5 exons. Lineage: Eukaryota; Metazoa; Arthropoda; Insecta; Ephemeroptera; Baetidae.
CGUUCCUCUGGCCCUUCUUUGGUCUUUCAGCAAGCCAUGCAAGCCCACCGAGCAGCAACAUCAUUUGCAAAGCGUGCCUAACUUUCAAUCCACCCUCAACAACCCACGCACAUCGAGUAAAGCAGCGGGCUUAAUAUUUUUGUGACGUUCCUCUGGCCCUUUUUUGGUCUUUCAGCAAGCCAUGCAAGCCCACCGAGCAGCAACAUCAUGCGCAAAGCGUGCCUCACUUUCAAUCCACCCUCAACAACCCACUCACAUCGAGUAAAGCAGCCUGCUUAAUAUUUUUGUGACGUUCCUCUGGCCCUUCUUUGGUCUUUCAGCAAGCCAUGCAAGCCCACCGAGCAGCAACAUCAUUUGCAAAGCGUGCCUAACUUUCAAUCCACCCUCAACAACCCACGCACAUCGAGUAAAGCAGCGGGCUUAAUAUUUUUGUGACGUUCCUCUGGCCCUUUUUUGGUCUUUCAGCAAGCCAUGCAAGCCCACCGAGCAGCAACAUCAUGCGCAAAGCGUGCCUCACUUUCAAUCCACCCUCAACAACCCACUCACAUCGAGUAAAGCAGCCUGCUUAAUAUUUUUGUAAAAGGCGAAGAAAAUUGUUCCGUCAACAAGCAAGGGGAAGGGGGCGUGGCACCCUCCCCUACAGAGAGCAGGUCCCCCAUCAACAGGAAACAUGGAACGAACGCGGAACGAACUGCUGCGAAAUGAAAACAAGGAAAAGUAGGCAGCACGCCGACGAUGCGCACCAAAAGGA